Cucurbita moschata (crookneck pumpkin) is the source of this 120-nucleotide ribosomal RNA. NCBI's taxonomy places the organism in Eukaryota, Viridiplantae, Streptophyta, Magnoliopsida, Cucurbitales, Cucurbitaceae. The record is from RefSeq and is a predicted model, not a curated record.
GGGUGCGAUCAUACCAGCACUAAUGCACCGGAUCCCAUCAGAACUCCGCAGUUAAGCGUGCUUGGGCGAGAGUAGUUACUAAGUUGGGUGACCACUUGGGAAGUCCUCGUGUUGCACCCC